This is a long non-coding RNA of Suricata suricatta (meerkat), 585 nucleotides long. RefSeq lists it as uncharacterized. Lineage: Eukaryota; Metazoa; Chordata; Mammalia; Carnivora; Herpestidae. The record is from RefSeq and is a predicted model, not a curated record. The transcript is spliced from 3 exons.
UAUCAGUUCAGAGAAGAGUGAUUUCAGCAAAUAUUAUCUGCUGACAGUAACUUUUUAACAAGCAAAACAAAUUCCAAGGCAAGGAAUUAGAAAAGCUGCCCUUGGACAAUUUGACCCACUUCCCCGAAGACUUUUUAACCUGAAGCAAAAUCCAUUUAACCAGCCAAAGCUAGCACUCUGAUAACAGAAGCUGCCAGCUGGACGGCCAGUUCCAUGAUGUACGCAGGCAUCCACAUCGACUCCAGACGAUCAUGAGACAUCAGGUUUAAUUCACACUUUAGCCAAGACUGACCUGAAUGACAGCAAGUGAUGGGAGCAUAACAGCUCAUCUGGAGGGUUAACUGCAAUUGAACUUUGCCCAAAACAAUCUGCUCAACUGCAUUUUCAGAAGAACAAGUGUCACUUCAUUUCCAAAAGCAAAUGCUUAGCACAAUAGCAAGAGUUUGGAAAAAUUCAAAAGCCAAAACCUCCAACAGGAUCAUUUGACUGUGUACUAUGCCGUUGAUGAAAUUUUCUUGUGAUAUGAUAACCACUAAUGAGGAUGCAUAUCAACAUCACUAUUAUGGGUAUUGACACCAUGGUGAA